Molecule: ribosomal RNA, 497 nt
Filed under: uncultured bacterium
Lineage: Bacteria
Description: partial 16S ribosomal RNA
Rfam family: Bacterial small subunit ribosomal RNA
Source: RNAcentral
AGUGAACGCUGGCGGUAUGCCUAAUACAUGCAAGUCGAGCGAACGGACGAUAAGCGUUCGCCUCUGCGGUUAGCGGCGGACGGGUGAGUAACGCAUGCAUCACCUACCUCUAUGACUUGGGGGACUUCGUAGGACAACAGCUGCUAAUGCCUCAUACGAUCAACGGGAUGAUUCAAAAGUUCAUGAGACUUUUGCUGUCUCUUAGAGAUGGAUCCGCGUUGCAUUAGCUAGUUGGUAAGGUAACGGCCAACCAAGGCAACGAUGCAUAGCCGACCUGAGAGGGUGAUCAGCCACACUGGAACUGAGACACGGUCCAGACUCCUACGGGAGGCAGCAGUAGGGAAUAUUGGACAAUGGGCGAAAGCCUGAUCCAGCAAUACCGCGUGAGUGAAGAAGGUCUUCGGAUUGUAAAGCCCUUUUGUUAGGAAAGAAAAGCAGCAUAUUAAUACCCCGAUGUUCUGACGGUACCCAAAGAGAAAGCACCGGCUAACUUCGUG